CUAUCUUCUCCUGCUACUAAUAACUUCUUUUGUGUUAGAAAGGAAGACACAAAAACAAUACAAAAAAAACAAGGGAAGAUAGUGCUCCCUAAAAACCAGAUAUUACAUUAUUAGAAUCCAAGGCCAGUGCCAUAGAAGAAAUGACAGAGAAUAUUACUUCAAUUAGCAGAUAGAGGUUCUGAAAAUAAACUCAAACAGAAAUUCGUGAAAUGAAAGAAACCAUAAACCAAAUUAAAAGCUCAACAGAAAGCAUCACCAACACUUUAAAUUACGUGGAAGGCAGGACCUCAGACAAUGAAGGCAAAAUAUGUAAUCUUUCAUGCUUUCUAAGAUCUAAUAACUCUAUAUCCUUACCUCCUUCCUCCUCAACAUCUCAACCUACACCUCAUCCAUGGUUCUUUGUUCUCCAUCAGAAUCUGUAGAUCCUUUUGCAAACCUACUGUUUUUAUUAUAGAUAAUAUUUGAACUUACCAUUUCUGUUUAUUGUGACAAAACUGUAAAUGUCUUAAUAGCAGCUAUGUGGUUUAAGGCUGUGUAUUCUUUGUAUUGGGGUCUGUUUUUAUUGUUCCCUCCUUGAAGGAGAGGUAUUGGAAACCUGAAGGGACACUAUUAGCCUUCAGACACUAUAACACUUCAGAUCCACAGUGUCACAAGGGAAAACACAAGAAUAUCAUGAAAAAUCAAGGGAAGAUAGUACCCUAAACAAACCAAGAUAUUACAUUAUUAGAAUCCAAGGCCAGAACAACAGAUAAAAAUGACAGAGAAGGAGUUCAGGAUGUACAUAAUUAAAAUGUUCUCUGAAUUAAUGAUGAUGUAAGAGAAUAAAUACAGAAAAAAGGAUCAUUUAAAUAAACAUAAGCCAAGACUGGAAGCAAAAGAUUACUUCAAUAGGAGAUGGAGGUUCUGAAAAUAAACUCAAACAGAAAUUCUUGAAAUGAAACAAACAACAAACAAAAUUAAAAGCUCAACAGAAAACAUCACCAACACAUUAGAUCACUUGGAAGACAGGAUCUCAGACAAUAAAGACAAAAUAUAUAAUCUUGAAAAGAAUGUUAACCACACAGUGAAAAUAGUAAGACACCAUAAGCAGAAUAUUCAAGAAUUAUGGGAUGAUAAAAAAGUCCAAAUUUAGGAAUUACUGGGAUAGGGGAAGUCAUAGAGUUCCAAACCAAAGGAAUCAACAAUCUGUUCAAUAAAAUAAUAUCAGACAAAUUUCCAAAAAUGGAGAAUGAAUUGGAAAAUCAAAUACAAGAGGCUUACAGGUCACCAAAUGUACAAAACCACAACAGAUCUACACCAAGGCACAUUAUAACGAAAAUGAGUAGCAUACAGAAAAAGAAGAGAAUUUUAAAAGGCACAAGAAAAAUGAGUCAGACUACAUAGAGGGGGAAACCAAUUAGGAUAUCUGCAGAUUUGUCAAUUCAGAUGCUGAAAGCUAGAAGAUCCUGGAAAAACACAUAUCAAGCUCUGAAAGAAAAUGAAUGCCAACGAAGAAUCUUAUAUCUAGCAAAAUGAAAAUUUAGAUUUGAUGAUGAGAUAAAAACCUUUGUGAUAAACAAAAAUUAAAAAAUUUACAACUAGAAAGCAUACAUCACAGAACAUUCAUCACAAAAUAUUCCAUAAGGAGGAAAUGAAAAACAACAAUGAAAAUCAGCAAAGGUAUGUAUUACACCAAAGAAAAUACUAAUCAAAGGAAAAACCAAGUCAAGUUAAAUACCCAAAAUAAACAAAUAUUACCAGGAAUAUAAAUCAUGUCUCAAUGAAAACCCUGAAUUUAAUGGCCUAAAUUCAAUAACCAAAAGACAUAGACUGGCAGUCUAGAUUUUAAAAAAGACCCCACAAUAUGCUGCCUUCAAGAGACUGAUCUCAUAGGAAAAAAAUCCACAAACUGAAGGUAAAAAGCUGGAAAAAAACAUCCCACUCAUGUGGACUGUGGAAACAAGCAGGGUUUUCCAUCCCCAUAUUAAAUAAUGUGGACUUCAAGCCAAAGUUAAUCAAAAAGGAUAAAGAAGGACAUUCACACUGCUUAAGGGAACCAUUCAUCAACAAGACAUAACAAUUAUAUAUAUAUAUAUAUAUAUAUAUAUAUAUAUAUAUAUAUAUAUAUAUAUAUAUAUCUCCCCCCAAAAUGGAGCAUCUAUAUUAAUCAAACAAACUCUUCUCAAGUCCAAGUGUCAGAUCACAACACAAUAAUUCUGGCUGAUUUUAACAUACCUCUUUCACUAUUGGAUUGAUCUUUCAGACAAAUCUAAACCAAUAAUUGAUAAAAAUCAAUCAUGCAAUCAAUAAUUUAGACUUAAGAGACAUAUACAGAAUAUUUCAUCCAUCAACAAAUGAAUACACUUUUUUCUCAGCAGCACAUGAAUUCAUCUCUAAAACAGACAAUAUUUUAUGCCACAAAUUAACUCCUAGCAAAUACAAGAAAAUAGAGAUACCAUAUGAUCAUUUGUAUAUGAUCAUCUAAAUAAAUGCAGAGAAAACAUUUCACAAAAUACAGCACCCCUUGAUGUUCACAAUACUAGAAAAACUACGGAUAACAAGAACAUAUCUCAGUGCCAUAAAAUCUAUCUAUGAUAAGCCCAAGGCCAACAUCAUUCUAAAUGGAGAAAAAUUUAAAGUGUUCCUUCUGAAACCUGGAACAAGACAGGGAUGCCCUCUUUUAUCACUUCUAUUUAAAAGAGAACAAUGUGUUGCAAAAGACAUCAAAG
Molecule: long non-coding RNA, 2708 nt
Filed under: Marmota monax (woodchuck)
Lineage: Eukaryota; Metazoa; Chordata; Mammalia; Rodentia; Sciuridae
Source: RNAcentral